Molecule: ribosomal RNA, 411 nt
Filed under: Clothoda nobilis
Lineage: Eukaryota; Metazoa; Arthropoda; Insecta; Embioptera; Clothodidae
Description: partial 16S ribosomal RNA
Source: RNAcentral
GUUUUGAAGAAUUAAUUUUAAAUUGUCCCUGCUCAAUGAAUGAUUUAAAUAGCUGCGGUAAAUUGACUGUACUAAGGUAGCAUAAUAAUUAGUUUAUUGAUUGUGAACUUUGUAUGAAUGGGUUGAUGGGAGAGUAACUGUCUUUAUUAAAUUGGUUUUUGAAUUUGACUUUAGAGUUAAAAGGCUUUAUUAAUUUUAAGGGACGAUAAGUCCCUAUAGAACUUUAUUAGUUAAUUGAUGUUGAAUUUUUUUUUUGAUUUAAUUGGGGUGAUUGGAAUAUAAUUUUAACUUUUUUUUGUAUUAUGCUUUUAUUUUAGGUUGGAUUGAUUUAAUUUUUUUGAUAAGAAAAGUUACCUUAGGGUUAACAGCAUAAUUUUUUUGGAGAGUUCUAAUCGAUAAAAGGGAUUAUGA